GAGAAUCUGCCUUGGGGUCGGGGACAACCACUGGAAACGGUGGCUAAUACCGGAUAAGCCUUUGGGUAAAAGAUUUAUUGCCCCAAGAGGAGCUCGCGUCUGAUUAGCUAGUUGGCGAGGUAAAAGCUCACCAAGGCAGCGAUCAGUAGCUGGUCUGAGAGGACGAUCAGCCACACUGGGACUGAGACACGGCCCAGACUCCUACGGGAGGCAGCAGUGGGGAAUUUUCCGCAAUGGGCGAAAGCCUGACGGAGCAAGACCGCGUGAGGGAGGAAGGCUCUUGGGUUGUAAACCUCUUUUCUCAGGGAAGAAGCUCUGACGGUACCUGAGGAAUCAGCCUCGGCUAACUCCGUGCCAGCAGCCGCGGUAAUACGGAGGAGGCAAGCGUUAUCCGGAAUUAUUGGGCGUAAAGCGUCCGCAGGUGGCGACUCAAGUCUGCUGUCAAAGCACGGGGCUUAACUCCGUUAAGGCAGUGGAAACUGAAUAGCUAGAGUGCCGUAGGGGUAGAGGGAAUUCCCGGUGUAGCGGUGAAAUGCGUAGAGAUCGGGAAGAACAUCGGUGGCGAAAGCGCUCUACUGGACGGCAACUGACACUCAGGGACGAAAGCUAGGGGAGCGAAUGGGAUUAGAUACCCCAGUAGUCCUAGCUGUAAACGAUGGAUACUAGGUGUAGCUUGUAUCGACCCGAGCUGUGCCGAAGCUAACGCGUUAAGUAUCCCGCUUGGGGAGACCUAUGCAAGUGUGAAACUCAAAGUAUUUACGGGGGCCUGCACAAUCGGUGGAGUAUGUGGUUUUAUUCGUAUGCUACUCGAAGUACCUUACCUAGGGCUUGACAUGUCCGGAAUCCCGGGUGAAAGCUGGGUAGUGCCUUCGGUAUCCGGUACUCAGGUGGUGCAUGGCUGUCGUCAGCUCGUGUCGUGAGAUGUUGGGUUAAGUCCCGCAUACGAGCGCAACCCUCGUCUUUAGUUGCCAGCAUUUAGUUGGGCACUCUUAGAGAUUCUGCCGGUGACAAACCGGUAGGAAGGUGGGGAUGACGUCAAGUCUAGCUAUGCCCCUUACGCUCUGGGCGUACUACUACGUACUACAAUGGUCGGGACAGAGGGCAGCGAACCUGCGAAGGCAAGCUAAUCCCAGCAUACUCGGCCUCAGUUCAGAUCGCAGGCUGCAACUCGCCUGCGUGAAGGAGGAAUCGCUAGU
Molecule: ribosomal RNA, 1196 nt
Filed under: uncultured organism
Description: bacterial SSU rRNA
Rfam family: Bacterial small subunit ribosomal RNA
Source: RNAcentral